RNAcentral lists this ribosomal RNA (130 nucleotides) under Salvator merianae (Argentine black and white tegu). Lineage: Eukaryota; Metazoa; Chordata; Lepidosauria; Squamata; Teiidae. The record is from RNAcentral.
AGCUGCUUCUUCUGUGUUCUGAAUCUAGUCUAGCCCCUUCCUAACCUCAGCUGAUCUCGAAAGCUAAGUAGGAUGAAACUUGAUUAGUAUUUGGAUGAGAGGCCACCAGGAAAUUCCAGGGCUGUAGCCA